This 468-nucleotide ribosomal RNA is filed under the name uncultured bacterium. Its description in RNAcentral is "partial 16S ribosomal RNA". It matches the Rfam family "Bacterial small subunit ribosomal RNA", at positions 28 to 507 of the family's 1533-position model. The record is from RNAcentral.
GACGAACGCUGGCGGCGUGCUUAACACAUGCAAGUCGAACGGAAAGGCCCUGCUUUUGUGGGGUGCUCGAGUGGCGAACGGGUGAGUAACACGUGAGUAACCUGCCCUUGACUUUGGGAUAACUUCAGGAAACUGGGGCUAAUACCGGAUAGGAGCUCCUGCUGCAUGGUGGGGGUUGGACAGUUUCGGCGGUUGGGGAUGGACUCGCGGCUUAUCAGCUUGUUGGUGGGGUAGUGGCUUACCAAGGCUUUGACGGGUAGCCGGCCUGAGAGGGUGACCGGCCACAUUGGGACUGAGAUACGGCCCAGACUCCUACGGGAGGCAGCAGUGGGGAAUAUUGCACAAUGGGCGGAAGCCUGAUGCAGCAACGCCGCGUGCGGGAUGACGGCCUUCGGGUUGUAAACCGCUUUCGCCUGUGACGAAGCGUGAGUGACGGUAAUGUGUAAAGAAGCACCGGCUAACUACGUG